Molecule: ribosomal RNA, 415 nt
Filed under: Klebsiella pneumoniae
Lineage: Bacteria; Pseudomonadati; Pseudomonadota; Gammaproteobacteria; Enterobacterales; Enterobacteriaceae
Description: bacterial SSU rRNA
Rfam family: Bacterial small subunit ribosomal RNA
Source: RNAcentral
UAAAGCGCACGCAGGCGGUCUGUCAAGUCGGAUGUGAAAUCCCCGGGCUUAACCUGGGAACUGCAUUCGAAACUGGCAGGCUAGAGUCUUGUAGAGGGGGGUAGAAUUCCAGGUGUAGCGGUGAAAUGCGUAGAGAUCUGGAGGAAUACCGGUGGCGAAGGCGGCCCCCUGGACAAAGACUGACGCUCAGGUGCGAAAGCGUGGGGAGCAAACAGGAUUAGAUACCCUGGUAGUCCACGCCGUAAACGAUGUCGAUUUGGAGGUUGUGCCCUUGAGGCGUGGCUUCCGGAGCUAACGCGUUAAAUCGACCGCCUGGGGAGUACGGCCGCAAGGUUAAAACUCAAAUGAAUUGACGGGGGCCCGCACAAGCGGUGGAGCAUGUGGUUUAAUUCGAUGCAACGCGAAGAACCUUACC